UCCGCAGCUCCUCUGGUGUUGCUACCAUCUCGAUGCAACUUCUAUAAUAUAACGAGAUCAAGUGUACGCUCGCUGCAACAUUUCGAUAUAUCCUUUCUAACAGACUAUUUUUCGAUCGGUUUUUUUGUCAAGCGAAUACUACUCCACGUGAAAUUAUCAAUCGGCCAGUAAUCUCCUUUUGGUUUUUCCAAAAAUCAUUGAUAACGAUAAUUUUCACUAGCUAACGAAAAGAGGGGGAAACAAAAAUGUGACUUCGCCGCGAAUCUCAUGUUUAUGAAGAAAUUAUCCGUAACCACACAACCUCACUGGCUAGAUAGUGAUAAAUCAGGUGAAACGGUAUCGCAACACGGAUGCUGAGUCACUGAGGUGCUUUGACUAGCCGUAAAAUUACCGCAGGAAAAAAGGAAGACCACCGCUGCUAGACGGACACACACAUCCGAAAAGUAUCGUACGAAAAUAAAAUCCACCAUGAAAAGAAUAAAUUAGUGAACCUUGAAUAAAUAUUCCUUUACACACAAUCUGUUAUGAGUAUCUUUUUUCAAUAUUGGUUUUUAUCCUUAUGUUCCAAGCAGAUACUUGAAAACCCCGCGCGGAACACUCCGACGCUUACCCAAUUUCUAAUAAUUAUUCCAACUGGUGGGUUUCAGACACUUACUUCGAUCCGUACAGCUGUUGAAAAAAAGAUAUUCUCAUCCUGCGAACGGUUCGGCCUUUUCUUGUGCAACACUUGCAGACAAUAUCGUAUGUAAACCUGUAUGUAUACCGGUUUUUUCGAGACUCGAAAGGUCGGCGGUGCAGUCAUCGAAAUCAGUCAUUAUUUAGUGUGAUCAUUGAUUAAUUCUGUGAUCAGAAUUUGGUUGCUAGAAGAAUUCUAGACCAACUUAUAU
Athalia rosae (coleseed sawfly) is the source of this 887-nucleotide long non-coding RNA. RefSeq lists it as uncharacterized. The record is from RefSeq and is a predicted model, not a curated record. The transcript is spliced from 2 exons. Lineage: Eukaryota; Metazoa; Arthropoda; Insecta; Hymenoptera; Athaliidae.